AUUUUUCAGGACCAGUACGAUAAUUUAUCGUUCCAUACUCAAAAGGGUAUCGAUUUCCUUGAACGAUAUGGUCAUUUCAUCCGCGACAGAUGCCUCAUUGAAAUGGAAUACGCUGGCAAACUUAGGCGAUUGGUUAAAAAUUAUCAGCCUAAAAAAAAAGACGAAGAGGAAUACCAAAUUGAUGAGCAAUUUUUUUGGGAGUUUGAAUAGUAAGUUCUUUAUAUGAGUGUUGAUAAGUGACGUACCGUGGACAUCCAGUAAUUAAUCGUAAACAAAUUGACUGAAAGACUUCAAGUGGUCUUAUGUUUGAUGGUUCUACUUGUCCCCAUAUUUUUACGCCAAACGACCAAAUGGAAGCUAGAAUAGAUUUAUAGGUGAGUAUUUUAUUUUUGAGACUGAGUUUUGAUUUUAAAAUUGGGUGGAGGAGGUGAAGGCGUGUGUUACAUUGUUUUAUUUUCUUUUGUGUAUGAUUUUUCCAUGUAAGUCUGGUCGAUAAUUAUUCCCUGGUAUUUUAUUGAGUUUGAGUGUGGCAAAUGGUUGUUAUUUAGCUUAAGAGGUAGAUAUUCUUUACGGCUUAGAGUGAAAUUCACUUGUACUGAUUUAGUUUCGUUUAGCUUGAUUUUCCAUUGCUUAGUCCAUGAGAAGAUAAGAUUAUGGUGAUUUUGUACUAAUUGUGUUGCAACUUGAGGGUCAAAUUUAUUUACCUUUACUGUCUGAAUAAUCCUAAUUAUAAUUUUUGUGUUUUAAAUAUACAUUACCAACAAAUUUGUACUAUAUUAUAAAUAGGGUCGUGUUUAAGGGGUGAUUCGGGGAGGCAAUAACCCUCCCUGAAAUAUUUAAGGGGACGGCAAUAUUUUUACGGGAUUCUAAAUAAAACCAAAUCGAUUUUUUCGUAUUCU
Sipha flava (yellow sugarcane aphid) is the source of this 899-nucleotide long non-coding RNA. RefSeq lists it as uncharacterized. The record is from RefSeq and is a predicted model, not a curated record. The transcript is spliced from 3 exons. NCBI's taxonomy places the organism in Eukaryota, Metazoa, Arthropoda, Insecta, Hemiptera, Aphididae.